AUUGAACGCUGGCGGCAGGCCUAACACAUGCAAGUCGAGCGGAUGAAGGGAGCUUGCUCCUGGAUUCAGCGGCGGACGGGUGAGUAAUGCCUAGGAAUCUGCCUGGUAGUGGGGUAUAACGUCCGGAAACGGGCGCUAAUACCGCAUACGUCCUGAGGGAGAAAGUGGGGGAUCUUCGGACCUCACGCUAUCAGAUGAGCCUAGGUCGGAUUAGCUAGUUGGUGGGGUAAAGGCCUACCAAGGCGACGAUCCGUAACUGGUCUGAGAGGAUGAUCAGUCACACUGGAACUGAGACACGGUCCAGACUCCUACGGGAGGCAGCAGUGGGGAAUAUUGGACAAUGGGCGCAAGCCUGAUCCAGCCAUGCCGCGUGUGUGAAGAAGGUCUUCGGAUUGUAAAGCACUUUAAGUUGGGAGGAAGGGCAGUAAGUUAAUACCUUGCUGUUUUGACGUUACCAACAGAAUAAGCACCGGCUAACUUCGUG
RNAcentral lists this ribosomal RNA (484 nucleotides) under uncultured bacterium. RNAcentral describes it as "partial 16S ribosomal RNA". It matches the Rfam family "Bacterial small subunit ribosomal RNA", at positions 30 to 507 of the family's 1533-position model. The record is from RNAcentral.